GUGAGGUAACGGCUCACCAAGGCAACGACGGGUAGCUGGUCUGAGAGGACGAUCAGCCACACUGGGACUGAGACACGGCCCAGACUCCUACGGGAGGCAGCAGCAGGGAAUAUUGCACAAUGGGCGAAAGCCUGAUGCAGCGACGCCGCGUGAGGGAUGAAGGCCUUCGGGUUGUAAACCUCUUUCAGGAGGGACGAAGCGAAAGUGACGGUACCUCCAGAAGAAGCCCCGGCCAACUACGUGCCAGCAGCCGCGGUAAUACGUAGAGGGCGAGCGUUGUCCGGAUUCAUUGGGCGUAAAGAGCUCGUAGGCGGCUCAGUAAGUCGGCCGUGAAAGCCCGGGGCUCAACCCCGGGACGCCGGUCGAAACUGCUGUGGCUAGGGUCCGGUAGAGGAGAGUGGAAUUCCCGGUGUAGCGGUGAAAUGCGCAGAUAUCGGGAGGAACACCAGUAGCGAAGGCGGCUCUCUGGGCCGGCACCGACGCUGAGGAGCGAAAGCUAGGGGAGCAAACAGGAUUAGAUACCCUGGUAGUCCUAGCCGUAAACGUUGGGCACUAGGUGUGGCGGAUUCAUUGAUGUCUGCCGUGCCGUAGCUAACGCAUUAAGUG
Molecule: ribosomal RNA, 606 nt
Filed under: uncultured Actinomycetes bacterium
Lineage: Bacteria; Bacillati; Actinomycetota; Actinomycetes
Description: bacterial SSU rRNA
Rfam family: Bacterial small subunit ribosomal RNA
Source: RNAcentral